RNAcentral lists this ribosomal RNA (460 nucleotides) under uncultured bacterium. RNAcentral describes it as "partial 16S ribosomal RNA". It matches the Rfam family "Bacterial small subunit ribosomal RNA", at positions 338 to 795 of the family's 1533-position model. The record is from RNAcentral.
CCUACGGGAGGCAGCAGUGAGGAAUAUUGGUCAAUGGGCGGAAGCCUGAACCAGCCAAGUAGCGUGCAGGAUGACGGCCCUACGGGUUGUAAACUGCUUUUAUACGGGAAUAACGCGCCUUACGUGGAGGGCUUUGCAUGUACCGUAUGAAUAAGGACCGGCUAAUUCCGUGCCAGCAGCCGCGGUAAUACGGAAGGGCCGGGCUGUAACCGGAUGUUUUGGGUUGAAAGGGAGCGUAGGCCGCAUGUCAAGCGUGCUGUGAAAUGUCCGGGCUCAACCCGGGCCGUGAAGCGCGGAAUGGCGUGCGUGAGUCCGCGGAAAGCAGGCGGAAUUCGUCGUGUAGCGGUGAGAUGCUUAGAUAUGACGAAGAACCCCGAUUGCGAAGGCAGCUUGCUGCAGCGGAACUGACGCUGAUGCUCGAAAGCGCGGGUAUCGAACAGGAUUAGAUACCCCUGUAGUC